This 76-nucleotide transfer RNA is filed under the name Virgisporangium aliadipatigenens. RNAcentral's name for it is "tRNA-Leu". It matches the Rfam family "tRNA". Rfam says of the family: Transfer RNA (tRNA) molecules are approximately 80 nucleotides in length. Their secondary structure includes four short double-helical elements and three loops (D, anti-codon, and T loops). Further hydrogen bonds mediate the characteristic L-shaped molecular structure. tRNAs have two regions of fundamental functional importance: the anti-codon, which is responsible for specific mRNA codon recognition, and the 3' end, to which the tRNAs corresponding amino acid is attached (by aminoacyl-tRNA synthetases). tRNAs cope with the degeneracy of the genetic code in two manners: having more than one tRNA (with a specific anti-codon) for a particular amino acid; and 'wobble' base-pairing, i.e. permitting non-standard base-pairing at the 3rd anti-codon position. The record is from RNAcentral. Lineage: Bacteria; Bacillati; Actinomycetota; Actinomycetes; Micromonosporales; Micromonosporaceae.
GCUCCCGUAGUCCAAUUGGCAGAGACGGCGUCCUGAGGGGGCGCUCAGUGCAGGUUCGAGUCCUGUCGGGGGUACC